AUGGCGCAAUGGUGGAACGAGUGGCAGCUGCGCAUCCUCGUCCUCGCCAGCCUCGGCACCCAAUACCUCCACGCGUUGCUUGCCUGCCAUCACAAGUUUCAUAUCCCGUCAUGGCUUAGAGUUUCGGUUCGGCUGGCGCACAUCGGCAGCGACCCUCUGGCCUUGUUCGCUCUCGCCGUGCUCUUCAACCGUCAAAAGAAUGGGCCGCGCUGCAGCUACGGGCAUGGCAACCGCGACUUGGAGCUGUUAUGGGCGCCCAUCCUGGUGAUGCACCUCGGCGGACAGGUCGUCAUGGCCACCUACAAGCUUCAAGUCAGCGACCAGUGGAGCCGCCCCAUCCUGACUUCUCUGUCCAAGGUUAGUGCAACGUCUAGCGUGCCUGUUUUCAUUUUGUCACCUUCAGAAGGAAUUUACCAUGCUUGUCUCUUUACUUUUCCAAUCGACCCGUACUGA
RNAcentral lists this ribosomal RNA (453 nucleotides) under Triticum aestivum (bread wheat). Its description in RNAcentral is "partial small subunit ribosomal RNA". The record is from RNAcentral. Lineage: Eukaryota; Viridiplantae; Streptophyta; Magnoliopsida; Poales; Poaceae.